RNAcentral lists this unclassified non-coding RNA (225 nucleotides) under Hevea brasiliensis (rubber tree). Lineage: Eukaryota; Viridiplantae; Streptophyta; Magnoliopsida; Malpighiales; Euphorbiaceae. The record is from RNAcentral.
GAUGAAUAGAAACAAAAACUUGUGUGAAAUUAAAUACGAAUCAUUAUAUGUGAACCUUGGCCCAAAAUAUUUAAUAUAAUAGAUAUUAAUAAACCUUCAUUUGAGUUAGCUUUUAUUAUUUUGGUUUGGAAACUUGCUUCAAAAGGUGAAUUAAAAUUUGAUGAAAUUCUUUCUAUUUUUAUGAUUGUUGGCAUAAUUUUAUCAUUCAACUAUUUUUGCUAGCGU